GUUACUUUGGCAGAUUAAUGCAUUAAAUUUAGAAUUUAAUUAUGUAAUGGGUAUUACAUGUAACU
RNAcentral lists this transfer RNA (65 nucleotides) under Urochela rubra. RNAcentral describes it as "tRNA-Leu". The record is from RNAcentral. Lineage: Eukaryota; Metazoa; Arthropoda; Insecta; Hemiptera; Urostylididae.